RNAcentral lists this ribosomal RNA (550 nucleotides) under uncultured bacterium. RNAcentral's name for it is "bacterial SSU rRNA". It matches the Rfam family "Bacterial small subunit ribosomal RNA", at positions 355 to 896 of the family's 1533-position model. The record is from RNAcentral.
UAGGGANUCUUCCGCAAUGGACGCAAGUCUGACGGAGCAACGCCGCGUGAGUGAAGAAGGUUUUCGGAUCGUAAAACUCUGUUGUUAGAGAAGAACAAGUGCUAGAGUAACUGUUAGCGCCUUGACGGUAUCUAACCAGAAAGCCACGGCUAACUACGUGCCAGCAGCCGCGGUAAUACGUAGGUGGCAAGCGUUGUCCGGAUUUAUUGGGCGUAAAGCGAGCGCAGGCGGUUCCUUAAGUCUGAUGUGAAAGCCUCCGGCUCAACCGGGGAGGGUCAUUGGAAACUGGGGAACUUGAGUGCAGAAGAGGAGAGUGGAAUUCCAUGUGUAGCGGUGAAAUGCGUAGAUAUAUGGAGGAACACCAGUGGCGAAGGCGACUCUCUGGUCUGUAACUGACGCUGAGGCUCGAAAGCGUGGGUAGCAAACAGGAUUAGAUACCCUGGUAGUCCACGCCGUAAACGAUGAGUGCUAAGUGUUGGAGGGUUUCCGCCCUUCAGUGCUGCAGUUAACGCAUUAAGCACUCCGCCUGGGGAGUACGACCGCAAGGUUG